Long non-coding RNA from Pan troglodytes (chimpanzee), 1880 nucleotides. RefSeq lists it as uncharacterized. The transcript has 2 exons. NCBI's taxonomy places the organism in Eukaryota, Metazoa, Chordata, Mammalia, Primates, Hominidae. The record is from RefSeq and is a predicted model, not a curated record.
CGGAUGUGUUGCAGACCCUCCAGCAUUUCUGCUUCCAGGUAAAACCUGCACAUGUGGGGAAUGUGUGGCAUUGUAAUGUCAGUCCUCCCUUCAGUUGCUGUCACUUGAAAGAAAAUGUGUUUGUUUAACAAACAUAAAUUGAGUGCCUAGUGUGUACCCACACUUCUAGAUCCUGCUGUUGCUGCAGCCACAGCUGUGAUUAGGGCAAGUCUCAGCUCCCCUGGAGUGAGUGCUCCUGUGGGCCAUCAGGUGACAUGGGGACAGAUGCCACAGGGGAGUGUAGAGGAGGGGCCAGGGAGCGCUGUGGGAGUGAGGCUCUCUGAGAAGGUGAUGCAUGAGCCAAGGCCCAGGGUUGGGGUGGGGUGGCGCCUGGGUGAGUGGAUCAGGUAGGGAGGCAGCUGGGCUGGCAUGGGAAUGAGGCAGGAGGCCCAGCCGUGGGGAACUGGAGGUCCUGCCUUUUUGAGACGGAAGCCACUGAACAGGUGAGGACUGAAGUUUAGAGUUUGGAUGGUUUACUGCCUUUGAUUGGCACACAGCCGCCGGUGUAUGUACGUUGUGUGUGUGCAAUGGUGAGGCCACUGUGCACCCGGUGGCUGGCUUCUCAUGAGUUUAACACACACUCACCACACCAGUCAGCCCUCACGUCUUUACCCUGGAUCCUUUUCUAGAAAGGAUCUGGAAAGUAAACAUUUUAGACUUUGAGGGCCACAGUCACUGUCCCUGUUCCUCUCUGUGGUUGUCCUGCCAGACACACACCAUGAGUUUACAAAGACAGGCGGCGGGUGGAUGUGGCCUGGGGCCUGUUUGCCAAUGCCAGCCCCAGAAAAUAAAACUUAUGUUUGCAUAAAUACCUAUACACAGAUAUUUCUACCCAGGCAUAAUCACCAAGUGCUGGAAGCAACACAAGCGUCCUUCAAUGGUGAACGGAUGGCAGGGCCCCCAGAAGACCACACGAAAGUCGUGUAGAGAAGACGUCAGGUGAGCUCUGGGAUGAGGAAUCUUCAGAGGAGGCGAAGAUUCCUCUGAAUCCUCCGAGGAGGCGAAGAUUCCUCUGAAUCCUCCUUCAGAGGAGUCUGGGGGUGGGAGGGCACAGGGCAUGGGGUAUCCAGGAGCCAAGCAAAGUGGGGGUUUCCGGGAGAAGGACUGAGGCACCCUCAAGGCUGCAGAUGGGGCGUCAGAUGUCGGGGAGAACGAGCUGGAGAUGGACACGGACAUGGAGGUGUGGAUGGCCCUGGGGAGGCCCCCUGGCAGCUGGUGGAUGGCAGGAGCAGCGUGGACAGCAGGAGCAGCAUGAACUGCAGGAGCGGCGUGGGAUGAGAGAGCCAUGCACAGUUCUUCCUCCUGCUGAGAGAACAGAUCCUGUGUGACCUUCACACCUUCAUUAUUGGAAACUGCUAAUGUGUGUUCCUUUUGAAAUGUGCAAGAUGUUGGACGUGAUAAACUGAGGAAAGAUUAAGGUGAGUAACUCCUUUGUUUAAACUUUGGCUUCAUGGGUAGUCUUAUUAAGGGAAGGGAUUUAAAGUGCUUAAAAAUUCAAUAGGACAAAGGGCAUGCUGUGGUUCAAGAAGUGACGUAUUGCCAUACAGGAUGCAGUCUGUUCCAACGGCCAUAAAGCAGUCAUCUGAGCUCGCUGUGGUUGGAGCCGGCCAAUUAUAACACCUCCUGAAGACACAGGGACGCAAUCUGCACGCUCCUGCAGGCCCCUGGGACGGCUUGGCUGGCAGCUCGGACAGCUGGGCUCUUCCAGGUGCUUCCAAGCCCCCUUACAUCCUGUCAAGGUCAUCCUACCCAUUCCCCCGUGGCCGUCUCCCCAGCCAGUGGCUAAAGUCACCGGCAGACCAGCCAUUAAAGAUGGGACGCCACUUGCUUCCCUUCAACAU